UGCUACAAUGGGUAGUACAGAGGGUUGCCAAGACGUAAGGUGGAUCUAAUCCAUUGAAACUACACUAAGAUCGGAUUGUAGGCUGAAACGCGCCUACAUGAAGCUGGAGUUACUAGUAAUCGCAGAACAGAAUGCUGCGGUGAAUGCGUUCCCGGGUCUUGUACACACCGCCCGUCACACCACGGGAGGUGGAGACGCCCGAAGCCGAUUAUCUAACCUUUUGGAAGAAGUCGUCGAAGGUGGAAUCAAUAACUGGGGUGAAGUCGUAACAAGGUAGCCGUAUCGGAAGGUGCGGCUGGAUCACCUCCUUUCUAAGGAGA
This 320-nucleotide ribosomal RNA is filed under the name Clostridioides difficile. RNAcentral's name for it is "partial 16S ribosomal RNA". It matches the Rfam family "Bacterial small subunit ribosomal RNA", at positions 1223 to 1533 of the family's 1533-position model. Lineage: Bacteria; Bacillati; Bacillota; Clostridia; Peptostreptococcales; Peptostreptococcaceae. The record is from RNAcentral.